GCAUUGGUGACUCAAUGGUAGAAUUCUUGCCUUCCAUGCAGGAGACCGGGGUUCGAUUUCUGGCCAAUGAA
Molecule: transfer RNA, 71 nt
Filed under: Loxodonta africana (African savanna elephant)
Lineage: Eukaryota; Metazoa; Chordata; Mammalia; Proboscidea; Elephantidae
Rfam family: tRNA
About the family: Transfer RNA (tRNA) molecules are approximately 80 nucleotides in length. Their secondary structure includes four short double-helical elements and three loops (D, anti-codon, and T loops). Further hydrogen bonds mediate the characteristic L-shaped molecular structure. tRNAs have two regions of fundamental functional importance: the anti-codon, which is responsible for specific mRNA codon recognition, and the 3' end, to which the tRNAs corresponding amino acid is attached (by aminoacyl-tRNA synthetases). tRNAs cope with the degeneracy of the genetic code in two manners: having more than one tRNA (with a specific anti-codon) for a particular amino acid; and 'wobble' base-pairing, i.e. permitting non-standard base-pairing at the 3rd anti-codon position.
Source: Rfam by way of RNAcentral